UAAUGAGUAUGCGGAACGAAUAGGGUUUUUCCAAAUAAUAUAGACAUUCGUCAGCUGAAAAGACGUAUAAACAGAGGGUGAAAGUAGAUUUAAUUUCUUACGGGUACGGGAUAUCCAAGUGCGCGCACUCUAUAAUAAAAAAUACAGGGUAGCCUACUCUGCUGACACUGACAAACAGAUCAAUAAAAACGAUGUCUGAUCCAUAUUAUAAUUAGCCUACGAAAAGGGGAGACAGAAAUACAAUAUGACCUCCAUCUAACCUGGAGGAGGAAAUUAUUGUAAAAAAAAACAACUAAAAACUAAAGCGACACUGACCCAUUGACAAAGUUAUUAGGCCUACACUUGUAGCUGAAUUGAUGCAUCCACGGAUGUCCACGCGCGCCACGUUCUCGGCCACUGGUCUCCGCCUUGUCCGGGCGUUUCGGCCACGCAUCUCUGCCUUGUCAACAUAUCCCUCCUGCCCCUGCAACCUGACUACACCGCUGUCCCCUGGGUCACUCACCAUCCUGGAUCCGCGCCCGGAUGAGGCGGAUAGCUCCACCCCUUGCCCUGGCCAAGAACUCCCCUAGUUCUGGCGUCACGACGAGAACCAGAAACAUGGCAGUUCAGCACCAAGCACUAGAAAAAGUCAUGAAUUUGGGGUUGAACUGAAGGCAGGUGACGGGACCCGUGUGCUUCCCAUCCAGAACAGCCACCUUCAUCCCACUCUCUGCAUUCCACAUGUGGAUCUUCCCAUCCUCAGAGCCUGAGAGACAACCACCAUCAGACCACGGAAAAUCAAGAGGAAGCUUAACUACUGUUUUAGUGUGUGUAAUGUUUCCAGGUUAGGUUAAAUUAGCAGUUUCAAAUAAUUACUACCAAAUUGUUCUAUGGUAGAAUAAGAAGACAAUUGGAACUUUCAUGUCUUACUUUACAGAACAUAGAGCCUGUUACCUCACGUUCCUUGUGGACUUACCGAUCAUAAUAAACUGAGAGUCAGGAGUGAAGGAGGCCUCCAGCGUCA
Molecule: long non-coding RNA, 1003 nt
Organism: Salvelinus namaycush (lake trout)
Lineage: Eukaryota; Metazoa; Chordata; Actinopteri; Salmoniformes; Salmonidae
Exons: 3
Source: RefSeq, a predicted model, not a curated record